Molecule: unclassified non-coding RNA, 296 nt
Filed under: Hevea brasiliensis (rubber tree)
Lineage: Eukaryota; Viridiplantae; Streptophyta; Magnoliopsida; Malpighiales; Euphorbiaceae
Source: RNAcentral
AUUUCCACAACCAGACAUGUCUUCACCAAGCAGCAACUUUGAAAAUCUUUCCUUCAUCAUCUCAACCUCUGAUAAACAAGACCCUUGUUUCUCCAACUUCCUUUUAUCCACAUGGGGUUGCUCCAUUCCUUCAGAACUGGCUUUCUUCUGAACAUGCCAAACAAUUGAAGGGGGUGAACAUGAAUCUUCAGAGCUACUAUGUUCUUCAUCAUUCACAGUUCCUUCAGAAACCAAGAAAUCAGAACUUACACUACUCUCUAUACCCUCCUCCUCAUACACAAAAGACUCAAUUUUUA